Molecule: transfer RNA, 68 nt
Filed under: Sundasciurus brookei (Brooke's squirrel)
Lineage: Eukaryota; Metazoa; Chordata; Mammalia; Rodentia; Sciuridae
Description: tRNA-Val
Rfam family: tRNA
About the family: Transfer RNA (tRNA) molecules are approximately 80 nucleotides in length. Their secondary structure includes four short double-helical elements and three loops (D, anti-codon, and T loops).
Source: RNAcentral
UCAAGAUGUAGCUUAACUAAAGCAUCCGGCUUACACCCAGAAGACUUCUAACUAUCAGAACAUCUUGA